AGCCUUGUAGUGUAGUUUCAUGCAGGAUUGCAAACCCUGAGACGUAGGUUAACGCCUGCCGGGGCUUCC
RNAcentral lists this transfer RNA (69 nucleotides) under Polypterus delhezi (barred bichir). RNAcentral's name for it is "tRNA-Cys". It matches the Rfam family "tRNA". From Rfam's summary of the family: Transfer RNA (tRNA) molecules are approximately 80 nucleotides in length. Their secondary structure includes four short double-helical elements and three loops (D, anti-codon, and T loops). Lineage: Eukaryota; Metazoa; Chordata; Cladistia; Polypteriformes; Polypteridae. The record is from RNAcentral.